This 522-nucleotide ribosomal RNA is filed under the name Rhinella paraguayensis group sp. ABGD cluster 43. RNAcentral describes it as "partial large subunit ribosomal RNA". It matches the Rfam family "Bacterial large subunit ribosomal RNA", at positions 1835 to 2560 of the family's 2925-position model. Lineage: Eukaryota; Metazoa; Chordata; Amphibia; Anura; Bufonidae. The record is from RNAcentral.
CUUGAACUAUAUAAGAGGUCCAGCCUGCCCAGUGACUCUGUUCAACGGCCGCGGUAUCCUAACCGUGCGAAGGUAGCGUAAUCACUUGUUCUUUAAAUGUGGACUAGUAUGAAUGGCACCACGAGGGUUAUACUGUCUCCUUUUUCUAAUCAGUGAAACUAAUUUUCCCGUGAAGAAGCGGGAAUAAAAAUAUAAGACGAGAAGACCCUAUGGAGCUUUAAACAACCCAGCAAUUACUUCUAAAAUUCUAAAUUUCAGAAUAUUCAUUUUCUAAGUAAUAUGUCUGCAAGUUUUUGGUUGGGGUGACCAUGGAGAAUAACACAACCUCCAUAUUGAAUGAAUUCCCUUCUAAGCUGAAAAUUACUUAUUGAAGCAUCAACACACUGACAUCUAUUGACCCAAUAUAUUUGAUCAACGAACCAAGUUACCCUAGGGAUAACAGCGCAAUCCACUUCAAGAGCCCCUAUCGACAAGUGGGUUUACGACCUCGAUGUUGGAUCAGGGUAUCCCAGUGGCGUAGCC